RNAcentral lists this ribosomal RNA (253 nucleotides) under uncultured bacterium. RNAcentral's name for it is "partial 16S ribosomal RNA". It matches the Rfam family "Bacterial small subunit ribosomal RNA", at positions 524 to 776 of the family's 1533-position model. The record is from RNAcentral.
UACAGGGGGGGCAAGCGUUGUUCGGAAUUACUGGGCGUAAAGGGUCUGUAGGUGGCUUGCUAAGUCAGACGUGAAAUCCCUCAGCUUAACUGGGGAACUGCGUCUGAUACUGGCAAGCUUGAGUGCAGGAGAGGAACGCGGAAUUCCAGGUGUAGCGGUGAAAUGCGUAGAUAUCUGGAGGAACACCGGUGGCGAAGGCGGCGUUCUGGACUGCAACUGACACUGAGAGACGAAAGCCAGGGGAGCAAACAGG